RNAcentral lists this ribosomal RNA (358 nucleotides) under Systenus leucurus. Its description in RNAcentral is "partial 12S ribosomal RNA". The record is from RNAcentral. Lineage: Eukaryota; Metazoa; Arthropoda; Insecta; Diptera; Dolichopodidae.
AAAAAAUUUAUUAUAGUAUUACAGAGUAGUAAUAGUUAAGUUCUUGAAACUCAAAAAAUUUGGCGGUAUUUUAGUCUAUUCAGAGGAACCUGUAAUUUAAUCGAUAAUCCACGAUGGACCUUACUUAAUUUUGUAACCAGCUUGUAUAUCGCCGUUUUUAAGAAUCUUAUUAGGGAAAUAAUUUUUAAAGUUUUUAAUAAAAUAAAAAGUCAGGUCAAGGUGCAGUUUAUAAUUAAGUUAUUAAUGGGUUACAAUAAAAAAAUUUAAGCGGAUUUUAUUAAUUAAAGUUUAUUUUUGAAGAUGGAUUUGAUAAUAAAUUUUAAAAGAUAAUAAUUUUGAUUUUGGCUCUAAAAUAUGC